UACAGAGGUCCCAAGCGUUGUUCGGAUUCACUGGGCGUAAAGGGUGCGUAGGUGGUGAGGUAAGUCGGAUGUGAAAUCUCCGGGCUCAACCCGGAAAUGGCAUUGGAAACUACCUUGCUAGAGGGUUUGAGGGGGGACUGGAAUACUUGGUGUAGCAGUGAAAUGCGUAGAUAUCAAGUGGAACACCAGUGGCGAAGGCGAGUCCCUGGAAAAUACCUGACACUGAGGCACGAAAGCUAGGGGAGCAAACAGG
This 253-nucleotide ribosomal RNA is filed under the name uncultured bacterium. Its description in RNAcentral is "partial 16S ribosomal RNA". It matches the Rfam family "Bacterial small subunit ribosomal RNA", at positions 524 to 776 of the family's 1533-position model. The record is from RNAcentral.